Molecule: ribosomal RNA, 1394 nt
Filed under: Mammaliicoccus sciuri
Lineage: Bacteria; Bacillati; Bacillota; Bacilli; Caryophanales; Staphylococcaceae
Description: bacterial SSU rRNA
Rfam family: Bacterial small subunit ribosomal RNA
Source: RNAcentral
GAGCGAACAGAUGAGAAGCUUGCUUCUCUGAUGUUAGCGGCGGACGGGUGAGUAACACGUGGGUAACCUACCUAUAAGACUGGGAUAACUCCGGGAAACCGGGGCUAAUACCGGAUAAUAUUUUGAACCGCAUGGUUCAAUAGUGAAAGACGGUUUCGGCUGUCACUUAUAGAUGGACCCGCGCCGUAUUAGCUAGUUGGUAAGGUAACGGCUUACCAAGGCGACGAUACGUAGCCGACCUGAGAGGGUGAUCGGCCACACUGGAACUGAGACACGGUCCAGACUCCUACGGGAGGCAGCAGUAGGGAAUCUUCCGCAAUGGGCGAAAGCCUGACGGAGCAACGCCGCGUGAGUGAUGAAGGUCUUCGGAUCGUAAAACUCUGUUGUUAGGGAAGAACAAAUUUGUUAGUAACUGAACAAGUCUUGACGGUACCUAACCAGAAAGCCACGGCUAACUACGUGCCAGCAGCCGCGGUAAUACGUAGGUGGCAAGCGUUAUCCGGAAUUAUUGGGCGUAAAGCGCGCGUAGGCGGUUUCUUAAGUCUGAUGUGAAAGCCCACGGCUCAACCGUGGAGGGUCAUUGGAAACUGGGAAACUUGAGUGCAGAAGAGGAGAGUGGAAUUCCAUGUGUAGCGGUGAAAUGCGCAGAGAUAUGGAGGAACACCAGUGGCGAAGGCGGCUCUCUGGUCUGUAACUGACGCUGAUGUGCGAAAGCGUGGGGAUCAAACAGGAUUAGAUACCCUGGUAGUCCACGCCGUAAACGAUGAGUGCUAAGUGUUAGGGGGUUUCCGCCCCUUAGUGCUGCAGCUAACGCAUUAAGCACUCCGCCUGGGGAGUACGACCGCAAGGUUGAAACUCAAAGGAAUUGACGGGGACCCGCACAAGCGGUGGAGCAUGUGGUUUAAUUCGAAGCAACGCGAAGAACCUUACCAAAUCUUGACAUCCUUUGACCGCUCUAGAGAUAGAGUCUUCCCCUUCGGGGGACAAAGUGACAGGUGGUGCAUGGUUGUCGUCAGCUCGUGUCGUGAGAUGUUGGGUUAAGUCCCGCAACGAGCGCAACCCUUAAGCUUAGUUGCCAUCAUUAAGUUGGGCACUCUAGGUUGACUGCCGGUGACAAACCGGAGGAAGGUGGGGAUGACGUCAAAUCAUCAUGCCCCUUAUGAUUUGGGCUACACACGUGCUACAAUGGAUAAUACAAAGGGCAGCGAAUCCGCGAGGCCAAGCAAAUCCCAUAAAAUUAUUCUCAGUUCGGAUUGUAGUCUGCAACUCGACUACAUGAAGCUGGAAUCGCUAGUAAUCGUAGAUCAGCAUGCUACGGUGAAUACGUUCCCGGGUCUUGUACACACCGCCCGUCACACCACGAGAGUUUGUAACACCCGAAGCCGGUGGAGUAA